RNAcentral lists this ribosomal RNA (584 nucleotides) under Salmonella enterica subsp. diarizonae. RNAcentral's name for it is "partial 23S ribosomal RNA". It matches the Rfam family "Bacterial large subunit ribosomal RNA", at positions 711 to 1274 of the family's 2925-position model. Lineage: Bacteria; Pseudomonadati; Pseudomonadota; Gammaproteobacteria; Enterobacterales; Enterobacteriaceae. The record is from RNAcentral.
AGACCCGAAACCCGGUGAUCUAGCCAUGGGCAGGUUGAAGGUUGGGUAACACUAACUGGAGGACCGAACCGACUAAUGUUGAAAAAUUAGCGGAUGACCUGUGGCUGGGGGUGAAAGGCCAAUCAAACCGGGAGAUAGCUGGUUCUCCCCGAAAGCUAUUUAGGUAGCGCCUCGUGAACUCAUCUCCGGGGGUAGAGCACUGUUUCGGCUAGGGGGCCAUCCCGGCUUACCAACCCGAUGCAAACUGCGAAUACCGGAGAAUGUUAUCACGGGAGACACACGGCGGGUGCUAACGUCCGUCGUGAAGAGGGAAACAACCCAGACCGCCAGCUAAGGUCCCAAAGUCAUGGUUAAGUGGGAAACGAUGUGGGAAGGCCCAGACAGCCAGGAUGUUGGCUUAGAAGCAGCCAUCAUUUAAAGAAAGCGUAAUAGCUCACUGGUCGAGUCGGCCUGCGCGGAAGAUGUAACGGGGCUAAACCAUGCACCGAAGCUGCGGCAGCGAACGUAUCACUUAAAACGAUUCAGAAGCUUACGAUUGACGGAGCGAAGCGACGUCAAAGCGUAUACAAAGUCGAGUCGGUUUA